CUCUCUUUGCUGGCGACCGGCGCACGGGUGAGUAACACGUAUCCAACCUGCCCUUUACUCGGGGAUAGCCUUUCGAAAGAAAGAUUAAUACCCGAUAGUAUAAUGAUUCCGCAUGGUUUCAUUAUUAAAGGAUUCCGGUAAAGGAUGGGGAUGCGUUCCAUUAGGUUGUUGGUGAGGUAACGGCUCACCAAGCCUUCGAUGGAUAGGGGUUCUGAGAGGAAGGUCCCCCACAUUGGAACUGAGACACGGUCCAA
RNAcentral lists this ribosomal RNA (254 nucleotides) under uncultured bacterium. Its description in RNAcentral is "partial 16S ribosomal RNA". It matches the Rfam family "Bacterial small subunit ribosomal RNA", at positions 79 to 334 of the family's 1533-position model. The record is from RNAcentral.